This 703-nucleotide ribosomal RNA is filed under the name Raffaelea subalba. RNAcentral describes it as "eukaryotic LSU rRNA". It matches the Rfam family "Eukaryotic large subunit ribosomal RNA", at positions 89 to 810 of the family's 3401-position model. Lineage: Eukaryota; Fungi; Ascomycota; Sordariomycetes; Ophiostomatales; Ophiostomataceae. The record is from RNAcentral.
GCGAGUGAAGCGGCAACAGCUCAAAUUUGAAAUCUGGCUCCCCCCUGGGGGGCCCGAGUUGUAAUUUGGAGAGGAUGCUUUGGGCGCGGCGCCUUCCGAGUUCCUUGGAACAGGACGCCAGAGAGGGUGAGAGCCCCGUACGGUCGGACGCCUAGCCCGUGCAAAGCUCCUUCGACGAGUCGAGUAGUUUGGGAAUGCUGCUCAAAAUGGGAGGUAAAUUUCUUCUAAAGCUAAAUACCGGCCAGAGACCGAUAGCGCACAAGUAGAGUGAUCGAAAGAUGAAAAGCACUUUGAAAAGAGGGUUAAACAGCACGUGAAAUUGUUGAAAGGGAAGCGCCUGUGGCCAGACGUGCGCCCCGCGGACCACCCGUCGCUCUGCGGCGGGGCACGCCGCGGCGGCGCAGGCCAGCAUCGGCUCUCCCAGGGGGACAAAGGCCGCGGGAACGUAGCUCCUUCGGGAGUGUUAUAGCCCGCGGCGCCAUGCCUCUGGGGGGGCCGAGGACCGCGCCUUCGGGCAAGGAUGCUGGCGUAAUGGCCACCAGCGACCCGUCUUGAAACACGGACCAAGGAGUCAAGCAUUGGGGCGAGUGUUUGGGUGACAAACCCGCACGCGAAAUGAAAGUGAACGCAGGUGGGAGCCUCCGGGCGCACCACCGACCGAUCCUGAAGUUUUCGGAUGGAUUUGAGUAGGAGCCUUGCCGCU